GCUGGGCGUGGUGGCUCACGCCUGUAAUCCCAGCACUUUGGGAGGCUGAGGUGGGUGGAUCAUCUGGGGUCAGGAGUUCGAGACCAUCCUGACCCAUAUGGUGAAACCCCAACUCUA
This 117-nucleotide non-coding RNA is filed under the name Homo sapiens (human). The record is from Rfam by way of RNAcentral. Lineage: Eukaryota; Metazoa; Chordata; Mammalia; Primates; Hominidae.